Molecule: ribosomal RNA, 491 nt
Filed under: Staphylococcus aureus
Lineage: Bacteria; Bacillati; Bacillota; Bacilli; Caryophanales; Staphylococcaceae
Description: bacterial SSU rRNA
Rfam family: Bacterial small subunit ribosomal RNA
Source: RNAcentral
UUUAUGGAGAGUUUGAUCCUGGCUCAGGAUGAACGCUGGCGGCGUGCCUAAUACAUGCAAGUCGAGCGAACGGACGAGAAGCUUGCUUCUCUGAUGUUAGCGGCGGACGGGUGAGUAACACGUGGAUAACCUACCUAUAAGACUGGGAUAACUUCGGGAAACCGGAGCUAAUACCGGAUAAUAUUUUGAUCUGCAUGGUUCAAAAGUAAAAGACGGUCUUGCUGUCACUUAUAGAUGGAUCCGCGCUGCAUUAGCUAGUUGGUAAGGUAACGGCUUACCAAGGCAACGAUGCAUAGCCGACCUGAGAGGGUGAUCGGCCACACUGGAACUGAGACACGGUCCAGACUCCUACGGGAGGCAGCAGUAGGGAAUCUUCCGCAAUGGGCGAAAGCCUGACGGAGCAACGCCGCGUGAGUGAUGAAGGUCUUCGGAUCGUAAAACUCUGUUAUUAGGGAAGAACAUAUGUGUAAGUAACUGUGCACAUCUUGACG